GCCAGGUGCGGUGGAGCACGCCUGCAAUCCAAGUGGCUCGGAGGCUGAGACAGGAUUGAGAGUUCCAAGUCAGCUGAGCAGCUCAGGGAGACCCUGUCUCUA
RNAcentral lists this small RNA (102 nucleotides) under Marmota monax (woodchuck). Lineage: Eukaryota; Metazoa; Chordata; Mammalia; Rodentia; Sciuridae. The record is from RNAcentral.